GAUGAACGCUGGCGGCGUGCUUAACACAUGCAAGUCGAACGGAAAGGCCCAAGCUUGCUUGGGUCCUCGAGUGGCGAACGGGUGAGUAACACGUGGGUGAUCUGCCCUGCACUUCGGGAUAAGCCUGGGAAACUGGGUCUAAUACCGGAUAGGACCACUUCUUGGAUGUUGUGGUGGAAAGUUUUUUCGGUGUGGGAUGAGCUCGCGGCCUAUCAGCUUGUUGGUGGGGUAAUGGCCUACCAAGGCGUCGACGGGUAGCCGGCCUGAGAGGGUGUACGGCCACAUUGGGACUGAGAUACGGCCCAGACUCCUACGGGAGGCAGCAGUGGGGAAUAUUGCACAAUGGGCGCAAGCCUGAUGCAGCGACGCCGCGUGGGGGAUGACGGCCUUCGGGUUGUAAACUCCUUUCGCUAGGGACGAAGCGUUUUGUGACGGUACCUGGAGAAGAAGCACCGGCUAACUACGU
This 466-nucleotide ribosomal RNA is filed under the name uncultured bacterium. RNAcentral's name for it is "partial 16S ribosomal RNA". It matches the Rfam family "Bacterial small subunit ribosomal RNA", at positions 28 to 506 of the family's 1533-position model. The record is from RNAcentral.